RNAcentral lists this ribosomal RNA (1473 nucleotides) under uncultured Bordetella sp. RNAcentral's name for it is "partial 16S-23S ribosomal RNA intergenic spacer". It matches the Rfam family "Bacterial small subunit ribosomal RNA". Lineage: Bacteria; Pseudomonadati; Pseudomonadota; Betaproteobacteria; Burkholderiales; Alcaligenaceae. The record is from RNAcentral.
GGUUCGAUUCUGGUCGAUUGAACGCUGGCGGGAUGCUUUACACAUGCAAGUCGAACGGCGAGCACGGACUUCGGUCUGGUGGCGAGCGGCGAACGGUGAGUAAUGGCAUCGGAACGUGCCUAUAGCGGGGAUAACUACGCGAAAGCGUAGUGCUUAAUACUGCAUAAUAAUUUCUUCGGGGAAAGGGACCCUUCUGGGCCUCGCACUAUUAGAGCGGCCGAUAUCGGAUUAGCUAGUUGGUGGGGCAACGGCUCACCAAGGCGACGAUCCGUAGCUGGUUUGAGAGGAUGACCAGCCACACUGGGACUGAGAUGGGCCUGUGACUUUACGAGGCAGCAGUGGGGAAUUUUGGACAAUGGGGGAAACCUCGAUCCAGCCUAUCCCGGCGUGUGCGAUGAAGGCCUUCGGCUAAAGACUUUUGGCAGGAGGAAAGAAAACGGCACGGGAUAAUACCCCGUGCAACUGACGGUACCUGCAGAAUAAGCACCGGCUAACUACGUGCCAGCAAUGCGGUAAUACGUGUAGGGGGUAAGCGUUAACGGAAUUACUGGGCGUAAAAGCGUGCGCAGGCGGUUCGGAAAGAAAGAUGUGAAAUCCCAGAGCUUAACUUUGGAACUGCAUUUUUAACUACCGAGCUAGAGUGUAUUGAUGGAAGGUGAAUAUGUAGUGGCGAAAUGCGUGUAGAUAUGCGGAGGAACACCGAUGGCGAAGGCAGCCUCCUGGAUAACACUGACGCUCAUGCACGAAGGCGUGGGUAUUAAACAGGAUUAGAUACCCAUAGUCCACGCCCUAAACGAUGUCAGUUUAGCUGUUGGGGCCUUCGGGCCUGGUAGCGCAGCUAACGCGUGAAGUUGACCGCCUGGGGAGUACGGUCGCAAGAUUAAAACUCAAAGGAAUUGACGGGGACCGCACAAGCGGUGGAUGAUGUGGAUUAAUUCGAUGCAACGCGAAAAACCUUACCUACCCUUGACAUGUCUGGAAUCCCGAAGAGAUUUGGGAGUGCUCGCAAGAGAACCGGAAUCACAGGUGCUGUAUGUAUUAAGCCGCCGCUCGUCGUGAGAUGCUGGGUUAAGUCCCGCAACGAGCGCAACCUCUUUGUCAUUAGUUGCUACGAAAGCGCACUUAAUGAGAUCGUCGGUGACAAACCGAGGAAGGUGGGGAUGACGUCAAGUCCUCAUGGCCCUUAUGGCAGGGCUUCACACGUCAUACAACACGGACAGAGGGUCGCCAACCCGCGAGGGGGAGCCAAUCCCAGAAACCCGAUCGUAGUCCGAUCGCCUGCAACUCGAUCGCGGCGUCGAAUCGCUAGUAAUCGCGGAUCAGCAUGUCGCGGUGAAUACGUUCCCGGUCUUGCACACACCGCCCGUCACACCAUGGGAGUGGGUUUUACCAGAAGUAGUUGGAGCUAACCGUAAGGAGGGCGAUUACCACGGUAGGAUCUUAUGACUGGGGUGAAGUCGCGUACGUUGGUAA